CCUACGGGUGGCAGCAGUCGAGAAUCAUUCACAAUGGGGGAAACCCUGAUGGUGCGACGCCGCGUGGGGGAAUGAAGGUCUUCGGAUUGUAAACCCCUGUCAUGUGGGAGCAAAUUAAAAAGAUAGUACCACAAGAGGAAGAGACGGCUAACUCUGUGCGAGCAGCCGCGGUAAUACAGAGGUCUCAAGCGUUGUUCGGAAUCACUGGGCGUAAAGCGUGCGUAGGCUGUUUCGUAAGUCGUGUGUGAAAGGCGCGGGCUCAACCCGCGGACGGCACAUGAUACUGCGAGACUAGAGUAAGGGAGGGGGAACCGGAAUUCGCGGUGUAGCAGUGAAAUGCGUAGAUAUCGAGAGGAACACUCGUGGCGAAGGCGGGUUCCUGGACAUUAACUGACGCUGAGGCACGAAGGCCAGGGGAGCGAAAGGGAUUAGAUACCCCUGUAGUC
This 446-nucleotide ribosomal RNA is filed under the name uncultured bacterium. RNAcentral describes it as "partial 16S ribosomal RNA". It matches the Rfam family "Bacterial small subunit ribosomal RNA", at positions 338 to 795 of the family's 1533-position model. The record is from RNAcentral.